AGUGAGUUUAUUUAUUAGUCAAUCGUAAGUUACGUAUUUUGUUUAUAACUUCCAAUUAAGAGUUUAUAUUUCGUAUUUACCCGACAACUGACCAGCCGUGGUGUAUAUGAGCGACAGAAACUUAAAAAUAUUAAUUAUGUUUCAGCACGAAACAAGGGAUACCUAACAUCUGGAUAUAUUGUAAAAAAUUUAAGAAUAUUAUCUUAACAAAAAGAUAAAAGAUGAUGUCACGCUAAAAGUGAUUCUCUCAGCAAAUGGGCUACGGAUUCAAAGUAAACAGGAUGGAUAGGUGUUUUAAAUUUUCAAAAUGUUACUAAAGGUAACCAAGCCAUCAGUGGUAGUUGUCAAGAAUGAGGAA
This is a long non-coding RNA of Pieris napi, 358 nucleotides long. RefSeq lists it as uncharacterized. The record is from RefSeq and is a predicted model, not a curated record. The transcript is spliced from 2 exons. NCBI's taxonomy places the organism in Eukaryota, Metazoa, Arthropoda, Insecta, Lepidoptera, Pieridae.